CAGUCAUGCUAGUGAAAAUUCAGUUUGACGGGUUUUGGUCUUUUGAUAGAGGCAGCGUUUCUUUUUUGGACUAGGAUCUGUCAGAUGCACUUUUUCUUUGGCAGGUCAGCGUCGAUUUCGAGGGUUGU
This 128-nucleotide ribosomal RNA is filed under the name Tricispora nevadensis. RNAcentral's name for it is "Entrophospora nevadensis ribosomal RNA". The record is from RNAcentral. Lineage: Eukaryota; Fungi; Glomeromycota; Glomeromycetes; Diversisporales; Diversisporaceae.